Molecule: long non-coding RNA, 371 nt
Organism: Haliotis rubra (blacklip abalone)
Lineage: Eukaryota; Metazoa; Mollusca; Gastropoda; Lepetellida; Haliotidae
Exons: 3
Source: RefSeq, a predicted model, not a curated record
GUUUGGUCAGGCUUGACCCUAAUAGAGGCUUCCCACUGAGACUGUCAUCAGCUCCGGUGUAUCCACAGUCAACAUUGACAGAGAGUGAACAACCUUUGCUGCCUCCUGUGGAUCCUCCAUCUUACUUACACUCAAUUGUACUCCAGAAUCACCCAUUCGACACUAAGGCUCGAAAGAGGACAGCCCGGCACAACCCGCGAGGACUGUCUGGACUGCACGAACCUGCUAGAGGCGUGUCAGGAGUCCGCUCUCAUCACAAGGUGGAUGAGUCCAGAAUUGACCCUCUCAUUCGACUGGGAAAACGAAAGAACUGUAUUGAUUGAUUUGUUUAAAGAGAGAUCUUACUAAUUCUGGAUAGAGUAGAAAAAAAU